Molecule: ribosomal RNA, 1351 nt
Filed under: Lactiplantibacillus plantarum
Lineage: Bacteria; Bacillati; Bacillota; Bacilli; Lactobacillales; Lactobacillaceae
Description: bacterial SSU rRNA
Rfam family: Bacterial small subunit ribosomal RNA
Source: RNAcentral
CAUGAUUUACAUUUGAGUGAGUGGCGAACUGGUGAGUAACACGUGGGAAACCUGCCCAGAAGCGGGGGAUAACACCUGGAAACAGAUGCUAAUACCGCAUAACAACUUGGACCGCAUGGUCCNAGNUUGAAAGAUGGCUUCGGCUAUCACUUUUGGAUGGUCCCGCGGCGUAUUAGCUAGAUGGUGNGGUAACGGCUCACCAUGGCAAUGAUACGUAGCCGACCUGAGAGGGUAAUCGGCCACAUUGGGACUGAGACACGGCCCAAACUCCUACGGGAGGCAGCAGUAGGGAAUCUUCCACAAUGGACGAAAGUCUGAUGGAGCAACGCCGCGUGAGUGAAGAAGGGUUUCGGCUCGUAAAACUCUGUUGUUAAAGAAGAACAUAUCUGAGAGUAACUGNUCAGGUAUUGACGGUAUUUAACCAGAAAGCCACGGCUAACUACGUGCCAGCAGCCGCGGUAAUACGUAGGUGGCAAGCGUUGUCCGGAUUUAUUGGGCGUAAAGCGAGCGCAGGCGGUUUUUUAAGUCUGAUGUGAAAGCCUUCGGCUCAACCGAAGAAGUGCAUCGGAAACUGGGAAACUUGAGUGCAGAAGAGGACAGUGGAACUCCAUGUGUAGCGGUGAAAUGCGUAGAUAUAUGGAAGAACACCAGUGGCGAAGGCGGCUGUCUGGUCUGUAACUGACGCUGAGGCUCGAAAGUAUGGGUAGCAAACAGGAUUAGAUACCCUGGUAGUCCAUACCGUAAACGAUGAAUGCUAAGUGUUGGAGGGUUUCCGCCCUUCAGUGCUGCAGCUAACGCAUUAAGCAUUCCGCCUGGGGAGUACGGCCGCAAGGCUGAAACUCAAAGGAAUUGACGGGGGCCCGCACAAGCGGUGGAGCAUGUGGUUUAAUUCGAAGCUACGCGAAGAACCUUACCAGGUCUUGACAUACUAUGCAAAUCUAAGAGAUUAGACGUUCCCUUCGGGGACAUGGAUACAGGUGGUGCAUGGUUGUCGUCAGCUCGUGUCGUGAGAUGUUGGGUUAAGUCCCGCAACGAGCGCAACCCUUAUUAUCAGUUGCCAGCAUUAAGUUGGGCACUCUGGUGAGACUGCCGGUGACAAACCGGAGGAAGGUGGGGAUGACGUCAAAUCAUCAUGCCCCUUAUGACCUGGGCUACACACGUGCUACAAUGGAUGGUACAACGAGUUGCGAACUCGCGAGAGUAAGCUAAUCUCUUAAAGCCAUUCUCAGUUCGGAUUGUAGGCUGCAACUCGCCUACAUGAAGUCGGAAUCGCUAGUAAUCGCGGAUCAGCAUGCCGCGGUGAAUACGUUCCCGGGCCUUGUACACACCGCCCGUCACACCAUGAGAGUUU